RNAcentral lists this ribosomal RNA (1449 nucleotides) under uncultured organism. Its description in RNAcentral is "SSU rRNA". It matches the Rfam family "Bacterial small subunit ribosomal RNA". The record is from RNAcentral.
ACGCUAGCUACAGGCUUAACACAUGCAAGUCGAGGGGCAGCAUGGUCUUAGCUUGCUAAGGCCGAUGGCGACCGGCGCACGGGUGAGUAACACGUAUCCAACCUGCCGUCUACUCUUGGACAGCCUUCUGAAAGGAAGAUUAAUACAAGAUGGCAUCAUGAGUCCGCAUGUUCACAUGAUUAAAGGUAUUCCGGUAGACGAUGGGGAUGCGUUCCAUUAGAUAGUAGGCGGGGUAACGGCCCACCUAGUCUUCGAUGGAUAGGGGUUCUGAGAGGAAGGUCCCCCACAUUGGAACUGAGACACGGUCCAAACUCCUACGGGAGGCAGCAGUGAGGAAUAUUGGUCAAUGGGCGAGAGCCUGAACCAGCCAAGUAGCGUGAAGGAUGACUGCCCUAUGGGUUGUAAACUUCUUUUAUAAAGGAAUAAAGUCGGGUAUGGAUACCCGUUUGCAUGUACUUUAUGAAUAAGGAUCGGCUAACUCCAUGCCAGCAGCCGCGGUAAUACGGAGGAUCCGAGCGUUAUCCGGAUUUAUUGGGUUUAAAGGGAGCGUACAUGGAUGUUUAAGUCAGUUGUGAGAGUUUGCGGCUCACCCGUAAAAUUGCAGUUGAUACUGGAUAUCUUGAGUGCAGUUGAGGCAGGCGGAAUUCGUGGUGUAGCGGUGAAAUGCUUAGAUAUCACGAAGAACUCCGAUUGCGAAGGCAGCCUGCUAAGCUGCAACUGACAUUGAGGCUCGAAAGUGUGGGUAUCAAACAGGAUUAGAUACCCUGGUAGUCCACACGGUAAACGAUGAAUACUCGCUGUUUGCGAUAUACUGCAAGCGGCCAAGCGAAAGCGUUAAGUAUUCCACCUGGGGAGUACGCCGGCAACGGUGAAACUCAAAGGAAUUGACGGGGGCCCGCACGAGCGGAGGAACAUGUGGUUUAAUUCGAUGAUACGCGAGGAACCUUACCCGGGCUUAAAUUGCAGAUGAAUUACGGUGAAAGCCGUAAGCCGCAAGGCAUCUGUGAAGGUGCUGCAUGGUUGUCGUCAGCUCGUGCCGUGAGGUGUCGGCUUAAGUGCCAUAACGAGCGCAACCCUUGUUGUCAGUUACUAACAGGUUCCGCUGAGGACUCUGACAAGACUGCCAUCGUAAGAUGUGAGGAAGGUGGGGAUGACGUCAAAUCAGCACGGCCCUUACGUCCGGGGCGACACACGUGUUACAAUGGGGGGUACAGAGGGCCGCUACCACGCGAGUGGAUGCCAAUCCCCAAAACCUCUCUCAGUUCGGACUGGAGUCUGCAACCCGACUCCACGAAGCUGGAUUCGCUAGUAAUCGCGCAUCAGCCACGGCGCGGUGAAUACGUUCCCGGGCCUUGUACACACCGCCCGUCAAGCCAUGGGAGCCGGGGGUACCUGAAGUGCGUAACCGCGAGGAGCGCCCUAGGGUAAAACUGGUGACUGGGGCUAAGU